UAACGAAUCUUCCCCAAUGCACGAAAGUGUGAGGGAGCGACGCCGCGUGUGGGACGAAGUCCUUCGGGAUGUAAACCACUGUCAGGGGUUACCAAGUUCUGAGGAGCCCCAAAGGAAGAGGCGGCUAACUCUGUGCCAGCAGCCGCGGUAAGACAGAGGCCUCGAGCGUUAGGCGGAAUCACUGGGCUUAAAGCGUGUGUAGGCGGGUCGUUAAGUACCUUGUGAAAUCCCCCGGCUCACCCGGGGAACGGCUGGGUAUACUGGCGAUCUUGGGCCAUUCAGGGGCAACUGGAACAAGCGGUGGAGCGGUGAAAUGCGUAGAUAUCGCUUGGAACGCCAAAGGUGAAAACAGGUUGCUGGGAAUGUGCCGACGCUGAGACACGAAAGCCAGGGGAGCAAACGGGAUUAGAUACCCCCGUAGUCC
RNAcentral lists this ribosomal RNA (424 nucleotides) under uncultured bacterium. RNAcentral's name for it is "bacterial SSU rRNA". It matches the Rfam family "Bacterial small subunit ribosomal RNA", at positions 355 to 796 of the family's 1533-position model. The record is from RNAcentral.